CAUGUACUUCCACCGUCCAAAAUUUUUGUCUUAGAUUUGUGUAUAUAUGAAUAUAUCUAGUCACAUUUUAGUAUUUAGAUACAUUCAUUUCUAUACAAACUUAAGACAAAAUUUUUGGGACGGAGGGAGUACUUU
Molecule: non-coding RNA, 135 nt
Organism: Hordeum vulgare subsp. vulgare (domesticated barley)
Lineage: Eukaryota; Viridiplantae; Streptophyta; Magnoliopsida; Poales; Poaceae
Source: Rfam